This is a non-coding RNA of Schizophyllum amplum, 89 nucleotides long. The record is from the annotation of a GenBank genome assembly. Lineage: Eukaryota; Fungi; Basidiomycota; Agaricomycetes; Agaricales; Schizophyllaceae.
GGCCGCCUGGCGUAAUGGCAACGCGUCUGACUACGAUGAACACGUAUCGGUAUAUCAGGAGAUUGCAGGUUCGACCCCUGCGGUGGUCA